RNAcentral lists this long non-coding RNA (786 nucleotides) under Marmota monax (woodchuck). The record is from RNAcentral. Lineage: Eukaryota; Metazoa; Chordata; Mammalia; Rodentia; Sciuridae.
AGGGGGACGCUCCGGCUGGGAGCAUGUGCCCCACCAGGAUCUGAUCUCCAGGGAGAAGGUCCUGCAGGAGGAACGGCUGUGGGUGGAGCAGCCUGCACAUAUCACCCUAGGAACUGGCCCUCAAGCUCAUCAGGGACCCGUAGUCCCCAGCAGAAGGAUCUUACCAAGUAAACUGUCUACCACAAUGUCCUCCUCCACAAUAGCCCUUCUGUGUCCUCCCUGCACGGAUGCCCGGGGCCCGGCUCCGGUCACUCUGUAGCCAGGGCCAUCCCUCUCUAACUUCUUGGGGCACCUGUGCUCUUCUGGCUCUUAGCUAUGCUGUCCACACUCACCUCUCCUGGUCGACUGCUGAUCUGACUUAUCUUAUGCCCAAGGCUGUCUUGUGCUCCAGGAGGCCCAGAGUUCUAUGUCCCCAUUUCUCUGUGUCCUCACAGCCCUCAACACAAAGCAGGACCCCCCAGUCGCCUUUCUCCUCAAAAUGUUUGGUGAUCAGAGCUCACGGUUUUACAUCACCUCUCACACUGCCAAAACCAGUGUCCUCAACCCUUUAGAAGAGAGGGAAAGCUACCACCAAGCCCCCUGAGGAAGACACACAUAAACACGUGUAGAAAAUGAUUGGUGUGGGGCUGUUGCUGUAGCUCAGUGGCAGAGCUCUUGCCUAGCAGGUGAGGCACUGGGUUCAAUCCUCAGCACCACAUAAAAACAAAUAAAGGCAUGCUAUCCGUCUACAAGUACAAAAAAAAAAUUAAGAAAAUAAAAUGUUUGGUGUAGAUCCCAGGGUUUCAG